CCUGCAACCUUCUCAUCCAGCAGGCCUCUAAUUAUCUCAGCCCAGAAGACCUCUUGAGAAGUGAGGUGGAAGAAAGUCAGAGGAAACUGCAGGUCGUUGUGGACACCUUGAACUUCUUCAAGCAGGUGUUUCAGGACCGAAGGGAGAAUCUCCAUACUUACUUUAAAGAGAACCAGAAAGUGAGGGAGUGGGAUUUCCCAUCUGCUUUGGUCUUUGUGCAUGUGGACGGCUUCCUGGGACGACUACUCAUGGUGCAGGAUCUUCUGAACACAACCUUGGACUUCCACAAACUGGGAAAGCUUGAAUUUAGUGGCACCAGAGGGAAAGCCCUGAGUCAGCAGAUUCAGCAAAUGUAGGAGGAAUUUCAAGAGAUGUACAGGGUCUUCUCAGAAUCUUCUUAUGACUGCUUGGACCCCCAAAGCACGGAAUUUGAAAAUGAUGUUUCUGAAUUUAACCAGAGAGUAGAAGAUCUCGACCAAAGACUGGGGACUAUCUUUAUUCAAGCCUUUGAUGAUGUGCCCAGUUUGGAGCAUGCCUUUAAGCUCAUAGACAUAGCAGGAAAGCUCCUUGAAAGACCACCAGUAGCACAGGAUGUACCUGAUAAAUACCUGGUGCUCAUCCAAAUGUUCAACAAAGACCUGGAUGCAGUGAGAAUAAUCUACAAUCUACAGUCAGCGUGUCCAGGAGGAGGCAGAAUUCGGUAUGCUUGAUGCCAGGGGAUGGGGUGUGGAAGGGGAGGUUCCAUUCCAGGGAAGGGUGCGCUUCACUCCUAUUGUAUUUAUUGACUGUUCACUGUGUAUCCAUGACAUUUCCAAGAAAAGCAAGCACAGCCUUCUUAUCUGAAGUUCCAGACCCUCUUGGGUGAUUUUAGAGUGCACUGAACUGCACAUUUCCCU
Non-coding RNA from Manis javanica (Malayan pangolin), 896 nucleotides. NCBI's taxonomy places the organism in Eukaryota, Metazoa, Chordata, Mammalia, Pholidota, Manidae. The record is from RefSeq and is a predicted model, not a curated record.